This is a non-coding RNA of Peromyscus maniculatus bairdii (prairie deer mouse), 206 nucleotides long. Lineage: Eukaryota; Metazoa; Chordata; Mammalia; Rodentia; Cricetidae. The record is from RefSeq and is a predicted model, not a curated record.
UUAAAAAUCCUGAAUAAGUGACAAUGGUCACAUGUACAUAUUUUAAUUUGCCAAAUUCUGCAAUAUGCAUAACAUCCAUUUGCCAUAGAAGAUUGGGAAGAAGAUCUCGAGGGUUUACCCCUAAGUGAGGGACAGGAAAAUAUUUUGUACAUACCCCACAUCAUUUAACUAUUUGACGAACUGCUUCUUUGAUGCUAGAGAAAGCC